This is a long non-coding RNA of Cucumis melo (muskmelon), 2962 nucleotides long. RefSeq lists it as uncharacterized. The transcript has 7 exons. The record is from RefSeq and is a predicted model, not a curated record. NCBI's taxonomy places the organism in Eukaryota, Viridiplantae, Streptophyta, Magnoliopsida, Cucurbitales, Cucurbitaceae.
ACCCUUUCUCAUGCCACACUAUUCUUCUCUCUUUUGUCAGUUUAUUUCCUUGAGCAGUCGUCGCCACCACCAUCACUGUCGUCCACUCGUGUCCAGCUAAUGCCCGUUUGUCGUCGAAUAGUCUUUUGGGCUAGUUUUUUUCUUUGACCGUCGUUGUGCUCGCCACCACUGUUGGGCAAGUUUUUUUUUUCUUGGGGCUGCUCUUCUUUCUUCGAUUCUAUGAUUAUCAAUGUUUGUUACUUUACUAAUUAUCCAUCAACUGAUGUUGGGAGCACCCGACAAUGCCCUCGCACGGAAACUUCUAUUUUAUCCUUUGGAGGUAAUAUUGAGCAUUGAUCGAGGAAGCCCAACAAUUAAUCCGUAUAACUAUUCCCAAGGAGGGCCAAAAUGAAGCAAAUUGGAAAAAGGAAAAAAAAAAAAAAAAAAGGAUCAAGGCAACAGUGGCUGUUUCAGAGUGGAUCAUCUGGGCACUCAUAAACUUGUUUGUGAAGUACAUCUUCAAGACAUAUGGCUUUAGAAACUGGAAUAAUCUUGGUGGCUUGAUUGGAUGAGGAAUCACCAUCUCCAUUGACUAAUCUAACUCAAUUAUACUCUUGAUGGGAAACGGCUGCUUGUGGUUGUUGGAAGAACACACCUAUCACCUACACAACAGACAACUCUAUUAGAGAUGGACAAAUUGAAAUGUUAAAUAGGUAUCAAUUAUUUAACCAUGUUAUAUUUUACAAACAUGUGGACGAACUUUUUACUUAACAAGGGAAACCAUGUGAAUUAAAAAAAUGUGCUUGUUGUUGAAUAAUUAGUGGAGUAAAUUUGAGGUACUUACCUCUGAAUAUUAAAAGUUAGUCCACCACACUACUGAAGAAUUUCUUCGGACUUUGUGAGAUAAUGUAAGUAGAAAAAAUUGUUGUUUUUUGUUUUUGAAGUUAAGUCCAUGUAAAGCAAUAUCUUAACUUGUGCUUGUUUAGUUAGAAUUUAGAAAUGGUUGGAUUAACUAAGAGGUUGUAAAUGACUAAACAUACUUUAAAACUUGGUCGUUAACUUUAACAACAUAUUUCAACUCUAUCAUUUUGUUUAUUAUAAAGUCUAGUUGUCUCCAUACAGGAAAUAGUUUAUUUCAUUCUUAGAUAAUUAGUCUACCAUUUAUUUCUUAGUUGGUUAUCGAUUGCCAUUGAGCUUGAAUAGGUUGAUAAUAGGGACUCAUAGAGCCUAGGAUCGCACCGGCGCAAGGUGCUAAGUUAUGUGAUUCGAAACUUUAGAAUCGGUGCUAACAGAGUUAUCUUUGCUAUGCCUGGGGUUGAUGGUACUGAUUAUACUAUGAGGAUAUUAAAUUCUGACAGUAGUGAACUGGAGAUUUAUUGUGGAGCUUGAGAAUUUGCAGGGAAGGCAUAGCGCUGAUCUAAUUAUUGCAGUAACUUCAAGAUCCUAAAAGAGAAGAAAUUUUGGGAGAGAAAUCAAAGUAACUGCAAUUGCCGUAUGUACUCUAUUGUUGUCGGUAGUUUUAUUUUAGAAGGUUGUACUGAUGUAUUUUCGCUUACAGUGAGAGUGUUUUAGAUUAUCUUCAUUUGACUGGCCAGAUGUGAAUAUAAAUUUUCGUGAUUUAACUGAAAUCCCUAUCCAAAGUCCCAUAAUCUCUCUUAUUGUAGGCAGUGAAGGGAAGGCAUUGAAAGGCAACAGGUGCAUGUCACCCUUUCGACUCAUUUAAAUUAUUGUUUCAACCAUAUGUGCGUUAUUGUUUUAUUGUUGUUCUAUAUAUACUUUUUUCUUUUGGAGAACAGAUAAAUGUUGAAAUCCGAUUUUCAUGUGACUGCUAUAAGGCCUCCCACAGUUCCAGCCAACUCUUGCAAGUUUGCUUUCUUUUGAAUCUCAUAAAAUAUUAGUUCUUGAGAUUUUCCUUGAUUUUUUACUCGACAAUUUUCAUCUGCUAUUCACUUUGCAUUACUGGGUUAAACUUUUUCAUGUGAUUCUUAAACUUCUUUAUGUGUGAUUGUUCAUUUCUUACUUGGGAUCUAUUUCCUGUAGUUCCACUCUAUUAUAAAAAAAAACAUGACCAAUUUUGAUCCCUUGGGAUUUGAUAUAAUGAAAAAUAUAUUUGUUCAAACACACUCAUCUCUGAAUAUAUCCAAAGGCAGUCAUAUUCAAACCAACUGGAGCAAACUAAUCCCAUACAAUGGAAAUUGAUGGUUCAAGUUCAACCUUCAGUCAACUUUUUGGAAUUCAAAGUGCAUUGAAGUUCACUACAAGAAAAUGGAGCAUUUCCGACGCCAAAAAAGACGUCGGCAUAAAGAACAUCGGGAAUAAGGGUUUUUUCGACGCCAUGAACACCGCGUCGGGAGAAGCUUCGGGAAAACACUCUUUCCCGACGCAUCAAGAAGGCGUCAGCCAGUAGCCCUCGGGAAAAGGGCAAAUUAAUUUUUAAAAACAAACUAUUCCCGACGCCGUGCACAGUGCGUCGGGAACGACGUCAGGAAUAGGAGUUUUUCCCGACGCGUUACGGAGUGUCGGGAACACUGUUUAAUGAGCGUCGGGAAUGCCCCUUUUCCCGACGCCACAACACUGUGUUGGGAAAUUCCCUUUUUAAUCGUUUCAGUUCUAUAUUUUAUAGAACCGAAACCGAGAGGGGAUAAGAGAGGAGAUUGCUGUCAAAGCUGAAAGGGGAAAAGAGAGAUUAAAGCAUUUUCGUUGCCGUUCCGCCACGGUCCCUCGCCACCGUUCCGCCGCCGUCUGUCACUUUAGAAUGACCGAAGUUAUAUCGGAUUGAAAGCUAAGCGGUUGUGUAGAUAGGCAGACGAUCGUUGAAUGUUGAAGACUGAGAAGACGUUUAGGAUUUCAUAUUUAAGUCUUGUAUUAGGAUCUUGUUUCAUGUAUUGUUGAUUCGUAUAUAUAAACACAAUAUUAAAAUUUCAUUUUGUGUAAAUGUAAAAGACAAAUAUUAUAGUUUCUAAAAUAAUAUUAAUUUUAUUGA